AUGGAUUGUCUCAUCACGUGGGAUUUCUCUUAUGGCCAAAAGGUGGCCGCACAGGUGCGUCGACGUUUCAGAUCUCCGGUUCAUUUUGAUGGAUCUCCCUUUUCUUCGGCUUUCUUCUUGGUUGUGGCAUUCAACUUCUCUUCCUUCUUGCUGGAUGUCGUAUCAGUUGCCAUGGCUUUGUGUUCUUGCCUGGGC
RNAcentral lists this ribosomal RNA (195 nucleotides) under Triticum aestivum (bread wheat). Its description in RNAcentral is "partial small subunit ribosomal RNA". The record is from RNAcentral. Lineage: Eukaryota; Viridiplantae; Streptophyta; Magnoliopsida; Poales; Poaceae.